AAUACAUGUUUUUGGCGGAAGGUUUUUAUUUUGCCGCAUAAAUUUUUGGUAAAGGAUAACCCUAAGCCGCUUUCCCUACUCCACUUCCACAAGCUACGAUUCUCCUUCUUUCCCUUCCAUGCUUGACUCCAACUCCGAGCCUCGCCGAGUAGAAACAGGUCAAUCAGACACAACUGUGAUUAUCUUCUCUUCGGGAACCACCGGACGUGUCAAAGGCGUGUUGUUAACUCAUUGAUUUUUCCUUUCUCUUUUGAUGAUUCUGAUUGAGGGGUUGAAAACCUGUUCUGGGUGCUGGGAAAACAAAUUUAAGCUUUCUAUUUCCCCUUGGUGGUUUUCAAGUGUUGAGAUUGAUGGGUAAUCUCUUUUGUUUGUGUGCUGUUUGAAUUUUCUGGUUGCUUUGUGUGAGUAUAAGAGGAAACUAAAAUACAUCUCUCAGUAUGGAAGCCCAUUUCUCAUUACGCUUCUCUGAUCUUGGACAAGAAGGGUUGGAAGAAGAAAGCUGAGUCCAUGGCUGAUAUUAAAAGAAACCCGUCAAUGCUUUGGAAGCUACAAGAAAACAAGUUGAGGGAAGCUCUUGAAGAAGCUUUAGAAGAUGGAUUACUCGCCAAAUCACAGGACAUGGAGCCUGACAGUGUUAAAAACCAUGAUGAUAGCCUUGGGAGAUCCAGAUCGCUGGCCAGGAUGAAUGCUCAGCACGAGUUCCUUCAUUCCACUGCUCUUGCAGCUGAGCGCACGUUUGAUUUCGAGGAAGAAAUUCUUAGCCUUCAAGAAGCAUUUUCCAUGUUCUCUCACUAUGUAUCCCAAGUAUGUGUCCUCAAAGAAAGUUGAUCAAUUGAGGUAUGAGGAAUAUUCCCAUCUCCUGCCCAAGGUAUGCCUUGAUUAUUGUGGGUUCGAUCUCUUCUCUUUUAUUCACACUAUUCAUUAUUUGGAAUCUUGUACAUUUAGCUUGUCUGAGAUAACUCCAAAUUUGAGUAACCAUGCACUGUAUGGCGGUGCUGAGAAAGGAACUGUUGAGCAUGAUAUAAAGGCCAUAAUUAUGGACUAUAUAAAUAUCCCUGAGAGUAGUAGAGGUUCAGAUUUUAAAUUGCUCGCUGAAUCCUACCCUUUCCAAAAGAACAAAAAGUUGUUGACUAUGUUCGACCAUGAUAGUCAGUUUGUUAAUCAGGAUUGAAUGAUGUGUUUGCUGAGUUAAUUUAUUUUGAUAUUUGUAUUUCGUUUACUCUUAUUGAUUUUUAUGCCUUUGUACUUUUUUCUAGACUUGUGAAGAGAAAUUGCUCAAUAGAGGCCAUUGAUCCAAAAUAGAUGAGGAAUUCAAUUGUUGAGGCGAUGCAGAUUAUCUAAGAUAUCUUGGAAUGCAAGAAUUUGAUCGAGCUAUGCAGCAUCUAGAAGAGAAAUAUGGUUUCAUGACUUAUUAGCACCAAUAUAUUUCACGUGAAAUGAAGGUGACAGAGUUAUAAUUUUCAAAAGAGAAAACCUGGUCGUUGUCUUCAAUUUUCAAUGGAACAGUUAUUCAGUUACAAGGUUGGCUGCUUAAAGCCAGGGAAAUAUAAGGAAUAUGUUUAACCUUGUCUGGGUGGAUUGUGCUUUUCCUUUUUUCAAAUUGUCUUGGAUUCAGAUGAUACCUUGUUUGGUGGUUUCAAUAGGCUCAAUCAUACUGCUGAGUACUUUACCUUUGAAGGAUGGUAUGAUGACCGGCCUCGAUCUUUUCUCUUUUAUGCGCCUUCUAGAACAGCGGGGUGUAUGCCCUUAUGGGUAAAGAGGAAUCAGAGCCAAUUAAGAUGUCGGUUGGAGUUGAGUCAGAGCCAAUUGAGCUGUCAGUUGAAGUUGAACCAAAGCCAAUUCAACAGUCAAUUGAAGAUGAAUCAAAGACAAUUCAAGAGUCAGUUGAAGCUGAACCACAAUGACAAGUUUCUGGGAAGAAUAUAUCUAUUUCAUAAUGACAUGGAUGCAAUCAAGUCAAACCUAGAAACCAACUUAUAUGGUGAUUAGAGCAGGCUCUGAAACUGCAAGGCUAAACUCAACCAGAAUAUGUGGAGCCCUUAUGUUAACAUUAAUCUUUAGUGGGGCAGCAAACCAACGUUGAAGUGUUUGUACACGUGGCUUGCUAGGUAAAUUAUGUAUAGCACGUCCAGCUUUUUGUUUUUACUUGGGGUUUUAAUAUGCAGAAGUUGCAUGGCGUGUUAUUACCACCAUCAGUAUAUUUUUUAUUUCAAUUAUUGUUUUACUUUAUUUUUAUACUUAUAUUUGUUCUUAAUUAUUUAA
Molecule: long non-coding RNA, 2262 nt
Organism: Vicia villosa (hairy vetch)
Lineage: Eukaryota; Viridiplantae; Streptophyta; Magnoliopsida; Fabales; Fabaceae
Exons: 7
Source: RefSeq, a predicted model, not a curated record